This 253-nucleotide ribosomal RNA is filed under the name uncultured bacterium. RNAcentral describes it as "partial 16S ribosomal RNA". It matches the Rfam family "Bacterial small subunit ribosomal RNA", at positions 524 to 776 of the family's 1533-position model. The record is from RNAcentral.
GACAGAGGGGGCAAGCGUUGCUCGGAAUCACUGGGCGUAAAGGGCGCGUAGGCGGGAUGGCAAGUCGGUCGUGAAAUCCUUCGGCUCAACCGAAGAACGUCGGCCGAUACUGCCGUUCUUGAGGGAUGCAGAGGAGAUUGGAAUUCCCGGUGUAGCGGUGAAAUGUGUAGAGAUCGGGAGGAACACCGGUGGCGAAGGCGGGUCUCUGGGCAUCUCCUGACGCUGAGUCGCGAAAUCGUGGGGAGCAAACAGG